AUACGAAUGGGGCAAGCGUUGUUCGGAAUCACUGGGCUUAAAGCGUGCGCAGGCGGAUGUAAAAGUCAGGAGUGAAAUCCCAGGGCUCAACCCUGGAACUGCUUCUGAAACUCUACAUCUAGAAUACCGGAGAGGUUAGCAGAAUUCCAAGUGUAGAGGUGAAAUUCGCAGAUAUUUGGAGGAAUACCAGUCGCGUAGGCGGCUAACUGGACGGUUAUUGACGCUCAGGCACGAAAGCGUGGGGAGCAAACAGGAUUAGAAACCCUAGUAGUCC
RNAcentral lists this ribosomal RNA (274 nucleotides) under uncultured bacterium. RNAcentral's name for it is "partial 16S ribosomal RNA". It matches the Rfam family "Bacterial small subunit ribosomal RNA", at positions 523 to 796 of the family's 1533-position model. The record is from RNAcentral.